RNAcentral lists this ribosomal RNA (253 nucleotides) under Gemmata sp. Its description in RNAcentral is "partial 16S ribosomal RNA". It matches the Rfam family "Bacterial small subunit ribosomal RNA", at positions 524 to 776 of the family's 1533-position model. Lineage: Bacteria; Pseudomonadati; Planctomycetota; Planctomycetia; Gemmatales; Gemmataceae. The record is from RNAcentral. RNAcentral also lists the same sequence under 1 other name.
GACGAACCGUGCGAACGUUGUUCGGAAUCACUGGGCUUAAAGGGCGCGUAGGCGGGCUGUCAAGUCUGGGGUGAAAUGCCACGGCUCAACCGUGGAACUGCCUCAGAUACUGACGGCCUCGAGGGAGGUAGGGGCGUGCGGAACUGUAGGUGGAGCGGUGAAAUGCGUUGAUAUCUACAGGAACUCCGGUGGCGAAAGCGGCGCGCUGGACCUCUUCUGACGCUGAGGCGCGAAAGCUAGGGGAGCAAACGGG